Schistosoma haematobium is the source of this 46-nucleotide non-coding RNA. NCBI's taxonomy places the organism in Eukaryota, Metazoa, Platyhelminthes, Trematoda, Strigeidida, Schistosomatidae. The record is from Rfam.
UCACUACUGACGAGUCCCACAACAGGACGAAACGAUCGUCCAGUGC